This is a long non-coding RNA of Scophthalmus maximus (turbot), 860 nucleotides long. RefSeq lists it as uncharacterized. Lineage: Eukaryota; Metazoa; Chordata; Actinopteri; Pleuronectiformes; Scophthalmidae. The record is from RefSeq and is a predicted model, not a curated record. The transcript is spliced from 2 exons.
CCCUAUUCCAGAGCCACCCUCCGUCACUGAUAGGCAGAGUUACAAGGUCAGACAUCACUUGCUGAAUGCAGUUUACAGGGUGCGGUGGGAAUCAUGCUGCCGGAGAAGGAAAGUGCAAGAAGCGCCUAUCUUCGGGUUGGGUACAUGAAAAAUUGAUGCAGUUUACUUUAACUCAAGUGAAAGUCUACUCUUUUCGAAAGGAGGAAACAAACGCAUGAGGGAGUUUCAGCAGUGCUCAAGCAUCAAAUUAAGGCCCUACAAGAAGACAUCCGUGUAUGCCAGUCAAGGCUCACCUUCAAAGGCCCCUGAGUACUGCUAUAGAAGCCAUUUUGUUUGAGACUACAAAGGAAAACAGGUUUAUAAGAGGAAGACUUUAAAAAAAAAAGUAGAGAGACAGACAUUCCUUUUCAAGUCCAAUUUUCCCUUGCUACUGUAUAUUGCCACAUAUCAUUCCGACGAGCGCGCUGCUUUAAAGCUACUCAACAGGGUUCCCGCCGAAGAUCCGGAUCAAGUUUUUAAUGAGCCCCGUCAUUCUUGCGCUGCUGUCACAGGUGUGAAUCUGCUGAUGCCGGAGCUCUGCGGGGCUUAACACGGGCCUUACCCAGUCAAUUAAGGAGUAUAAGAAACGCAGCGGCAAAGGGACGUGUCUUCCAAACACGCGCCCAGUAACAAGACAACAGUCACAUCAUGGAAGAUGAGGAGAAUUAAGGAUGCUGACCUCUGCUCGUGUUUGCAGCAUGAAAAUGAAUCAAAUGGAUUGAGCCUGUACUGCAGUCCUCUAAGUAGAGUGCUUGGAGACCUUGCCUUUAUUGCAUGUAAACAAGUGUGAAGAGCCCUAUAAAUAUAUGUCCUCACUCCAA